UGAGUAACCUGCCCUUCACUCUGGGAUAACUCCGGGAAACCGGGGCUAAUACUGGAUAUGACUCGAACAGGCAUCUGUUUCGGAUGGAAAGAUUUAUUGGUGGAGGAUGGACUCGCGGCCUAUCAGCUUGUUGGUGAGGUAAUGGCUCACCAAGGCGGCGACGGGUAGCCGGCCUGAGAGGGCGAUCGGCCACACUGGGACUGAGACACGGCCCAGACUCCUACGGGAGNA
Molecule: ribosomal RNA, 231 nt
Filed under: uncultured bacterium
Lineage: Bacteria
Description: partial 16S ribosomal RNA
Rfam family: Bacterial small subunit ribosomal RNA
Source: RNAcentral